GAGGGGAUAGCUCAGUGUUAGAGCACAUGCUUAGCAUGCAUGAGGUCCUGGGUUCAAUCCCUGAUACCUUCA
Molecule: transfer RNA, 72 nt
Filed under: Camelus bactrianus (Bactrian camel)
Lineage: Eukaryota; Metazoa; Chordata; Mammalia; Artiodactyla; Camelidae
Also listed under: 1 other name
Rfam family: tRNA
About the family: Transfer RNA (tRNA) molecules are approximately 80 nucleotides in length.
Source: Rfam by way of RNAcentral